This 210-nucleotide ribosomal RNA is filed under the name uncultured Lactobacillus sp. Its description in RNAcentral is "partial 16S ribosomal RNA". It matches the Rfam family "Bacterial small subunit ribosomal RNA", at positions 152 to 354 of the family's 1533-position model. The record is from RNAcentral. Lineage: Bacteria; Bacillati; Bacillota; Bacilli; Lactobacillales; Lactobacillaceae.
GGAAACAGAUGCUAAUACCGGAUAACAACAGAUGAUGCCUAUCAACUGUUUAAAAGAUGGUUCUGCUAUCACUCUUGGAUGGACCUGCGGUGCAUUAGCUAGUUGGUAGGGUAACGGCCUACCAAGGCGAUGAUGCAUAGCCGAGUUGAGAGACUGAUCGGCCACAUUGGGACUGAGACACGGCCCAAACUCCUACGGGAGGCAGCAGAG